GAUGAGUUCUCCCUGAGACUUUAAGUCUCCUGAAGGAACGUUGAAGACGACGACGUUGAUAGGCCGGGUGUGUAAGCGCAGCGAUGCGUUGAGCUAACCGGUACUAAUGAACCGUGAGGCUUAACCUU
Molecule: ribosomal RNA, 128 nt
Filed under: Escherichia coli
Lineage: Bacteria; Pseudomonadati; Pseudomonadota; Gammaproteobacteria; Enterobacterales; Enterobacteriaceae
Also listed under: 5 other names
Description: partial 23S ribosomal RNA
Rfam family: Bacterial large subunit ribosomal RNA
Source: RNAcentral